AACGAACGCUGGCGGCAUGCCUAACACAUGCAAGUCGAACGGUGCCUUCGGGCACAGUGGCGCACGGGUGAGUAACACGUGGGAACCUGCCUUUCGGUUCGGAACAACGUCUGGAAACGGACGCUAACGCCGGAUACGCCCAUCCAGCGAUGGUUGGGGAAAGUUUACGCCGAGAGAGGGGCCCGCGCCGGAUUAGGUAGUUGGUGGGGUAACGGCCUACCAAGCCGACGAUCCGUAGCUGGUCUGAGAGGAUGAUCAGCCACACUGGGACUGAGACACGGCCCAGACUCCUACGGGAGGCAGCAGUGGGGAAUAUUGGACAAUGGGCGCAAGCCUGAUCCAGCCAUGCCGCGUGAGUGAUGAAGGCCUUAGGGUUGUAAAGACUCUUUCGCACGCGACGAUGAUGACGGUAGCGUGAGAAGAAGCCCCGGCUAACUUCGUGCCAGCAGCCGCGGUAAGUACUGACUCA
This 469-nucleotide ribosomal RNA is filed under the name uncultured bacterium. RNAcentral describes it as "bacterial SSU rRNA". It matches the Rfam family "Bacterial small subunit ribosomal RNA", at positions 29 to 533 of the family's 1533-position model. The record is from RNAcentral.